CUGUUUACAGCUCUAAUGGAAAGGAGAGUUUUCAGUCAUAUCAUGACUACAGCACAAAGCACAAUACAGGUGUUAUGACCAUCUCCUUGCAGCGCUGGAAGUGGUGAUCAGUGGGAGGCCCUCAAGAUAGAACCCAUAUAUGAGAAACCUCUGAAUAGCUCCUGGUCAAUUUCGAUUUCCCACCAAUCCAUUUCUGCUUCCAUCCUCUUGAUGUCAUACGUCCGGGAGCUGUGUGUUAUGGUGGGCUACAGGGAGAAGAAACAAAUGAUCAUCCUUGUACUGAAACCAGAUUGUAAAUUCACAUAAACUAAAGGAAGUGAAAGAACAGUGUAUGUAUCUAUGGAUCCUCUGCUACCACAGACUAGUGCACAGUGGUUCAGCUGUAUUGUAAUAGUGACACGUCUUCAGCUGUUGCAGUGUAAUGAGCCAUGAGAUACAACUGAGUAAGAAUAAAAGUAUAGAGAAGCAGACAUAAAUGGAAAUACCUAUUUACCAAGUUACCAGACACUUGUUGUUCUUGUAUUGUGUGAUAUUAAUAAUUGACCCUAAUUUUUUUCUAUUGCAUUAACUGGGCAAACCAACUUUUUCAUAUACUUACUGGAGCAGGGAUGUGUGGUGGUGGUGGUGUUACUCUCAGGGCUUCCAGCGAGACCCAAAUCAAUAUGCUGGAAUAAUGGAUGCUGGCGGAUGUUGCCGUUGACUCCUAACCGCCUGGAGGGAUCACUACGCAGGAGCUGGAAUAAAACAGAAGAAGAAAUACGUUUCUCUGUUAUCAUCAUUGCAGCACUGAGGUGUUAUGACCAUCUCCUUGCAGCGCUGGAAGUGGUGAUCAGUGGGAGGCCCUCAAGAUAGAACCCAUAUAUGAGAAACCUCUGAAUAGCUCCUGGUCAAUUUCGAUUUCCCACCAAUCCAUUUCUGCUUCCAUCCUCUUGAUGUCAUACGUCCGGGAGCUGUGUGUUAUGGUGGGCUACAGGGAGAAGAAACAAAUGAUCAUCCUUGUACUGAAACCUGAUUGUAAAUUCUAUGGAUCCUCUGCUACCACAGACUAGUGUACAGUGGUUCAGCUGUAUUGUAAUAGUGACACGUCUUCAGCUGUUGCAGUGUAAUGAGCCAUGAGAUACAACUCAGUAAGAAUAAAAGUAUAGAGAAGUAGACAUAAAUGGAAAUACCUAUUUACCAAGUUACCAGACACUUAUUGUUCUUGUAUUGUGUGAUAUUUGUCAGGUCCGGAUGUUUUUGUGAAUCCGUUAACCCGGGACCAACCACAGGUGUAGGUGCUGGGCUAUGAAGAAAGCAGGGAGGAUGAAAAAAGUUCCGCUUCAUAUAUUUAUUCAAAAUAACAAUUCAGUAAAGAGUUAACUGACAAGUUGUUAAUCAUCAUAUUAUACUGAAGUAUUGCAGGAAUAAUAUGCAAGAGCAAACUCAAAAAUAAAUAAAAGAAAUGUUCAUGGAAACAUAUGCAAAACAAGCUGAUGAAUAAAUGUUAGAUUGUCCAAAUAUAAACAAGCUUAGAUGCUGAACUGCAGAAUGUGAUUAACUGGAUAAUGCAGACAUGAAGAGAUAACUGUAAGGAUUUGCAAUGGAGUUUUGAGAGUUAACUGAGAG
Molecule: long non-coding RNA, 1605 nt
Organism: Pseudophryne corroboree (corroboree frog)
Lineage: Eukaryota; Metazoa; Chordata; Amphibia; Anura; Myobatrachidae
Exons: 3
Source: RefSeq, a predicted model, not a curated record